GAUGAACGCUGGCGGCGUGCCUAACACAUGCAAGUCGAACGGAGCUAUUUAGGAAACUUCCUUCGGGGAGCGGAAUCUAUAGCUUAGUGGCGGACGGGUGAGUAACGCGUGAGCAAUCUGCCUUUGGAUGGGGGAUAACAGCCGGAAACGACUGCUAAUACCGCAUAAUGCAUUUGAACCGCAUGAUUUGAAUGCCAAAGAUUUAUCGUCCGAAGAUGAGCUCGCGUCUGAUUAGCUGGUUGGCGGGGUAACGGCCCACCAAGGCGACGAUCAGUAGCCGGACUGAGAGGUUGAACGGCCACAUUGGGACUGAGACACGGCCCAG
This 325-nucleotide ribosomal RNA is filed under the name uncultured bacterium. Its description in RNAcentral is "bacterial SSU rRNA". It matches the Rfam family "Bacterial small subunit ribosomal RNA", at positions 28 to 334 of the family's 1533-position model. The record is from RNAcentral.